RNAcentral lists this non-coding RNA (105 nucleotides) under Flexilinea flocculi. RNAcentral's name for it is "SAM riboswitch aptamer (S box leader)". It matches the Rfam family "SAM riboswitch aptamer (S box leader)". From Rfam's summary of the family: The SAM riboswitch is found upstream of a number of genes which code for proteins involved in methionine or cysteine biosynthesis in Gram-positive bacteria. The SAM riboswitch acts at the level of transcription termination control. The predicted structure consists of a complex stem-loop region followed by a single stem loop terminator region. The record is from Rfam by way of RNAcentral. RNAcentral also lists the same sequence under 1 other name. Lineage: Bacteria; Bacillati; Chloroflexota; Anaerolineae; Anaerolineales; Anaerolineaceae.
CUCUUAUCCAGAGAGGUGGAGGGACCGGCCCAUCGAAACCUCGGCAACCUGAUUAAUUUCAAGGUGCCAAAUCCGGCAGAAGAAAGAAAAUCUGGAAGAUAGGAG